UACGUAGGGUGCAAGCGUUAAUCGGAAUUACUGGGCGUAAAGCGUGCGCAGGCGGUUUUUCAAGACAGAUGUGAAAUCCCCGGGCUUAACCUGGGAAUUGCGAUGGAGACUGCAAGGCUUGAAUCUGGCAGAGGGGGGUAGAAUUCCACGUGUAGCAGUGAAAUGCGUAGAGAUGUGGAGGAACACCGAUGGCGAAGGCAGCCCCCUGGGUCAAGAUUGACGCUCAUGCACGAAAGCGUGGGGAGCGAACAGG
RNAcentral lists this ribosomal RNA (253 nucleotides) under uncultured bacterium. RNAcentral describes it as "partial 16S ribosomal RNA". It matches the Rfam family "Bacterial small subunit ribosomal RNA", at positions 524 to 776 of the family's 1533-position model. The record is from RNAcentral.